Molecule: long non-coding RNA, 1458 nt
Filed under: Ananas comosus (pineapple)
Lineage: Eukaryota; Viridiplantae; Streptophyta; Magnoliopsida; Poales; Bromeliaceae
Description: long non-coding RNA (ACOM_LNC041909)
Source: RNAcentral
UGUAAGGUUAGUGGUGUGAGAACUACGAGAAAGUUCCCAGUGGGUUCGGCCGCCGACCUCGCCGACUCACCCACUAGGUCUAAUCAGGCAUAUGUAGGCAAAGAAAGUAAAGCAGAUAGUAACCAACUAGAUAUGUAACUACUACAAUGCCUGUACAAAGCUGAAAGAAAGCAAUAUAUAUGAAAACUGUAAAUAUGCAUGCAUGCUUUUCAUUAACUUUACCCAAUCUUUUGGUUAACCCUUUGGUUAACAAUUACUCACUGACACUAUCCCAAAUAUCGGGGAGACGCAACCUGCACCCGACGGGACUGUCAACUGGGGGAGACGCAACCUCCUGGUCCAGUACAGAUGACUACUCCGGAGCUCAUCGUUCAAGGAGGAGCGACCUCACUUGAACCAAACAAAUGUGAGUAUGAUCUGAUCCCCCUUUAGAGGAUUCAACUGACAAACACUGUCACACUUUACUCUAACUAGCUUUAUAUGCUAGUUUCACAAUUCAUAUCUCAAUACUAACCAAAUCUCUAGUCAUAUGUCACCAGGUUCACUAUUGUCAUAGUUAGGGGUGGAACUGGGCCGGGUUUGGGUCGGGUAAUACUAUGCCCAAGCCCGGCCCAAAAGAAAAUGUUGGGCUUCGGGUCGGGCUUCUACCCAAUUUUUUUUGAAAAUUAAGGCCCGACCCAAGCCCAAGCCCAAUGCCCAAUACCCAUCGGGCUUUGUGGAGGCCCAUUUUAUGCAUUUAUCAUAUAAUACAUAAAUACUUUUAUUUGUAUAAAAUUAAAAUAAAAUGCUUAUUUUUAGUUUGAUCACAUCAAAGAAAUUACUAUCUAAUAUCAAAUAUAUUCUAAUAUGGAACUAAAUAUUUUGUUAAUAUAUAAUAUAUCCUCAUAUAUAUAUAAGUAUAUAUCAUUAAUAACAAUAUAUACUAUAUAUGAUAUAUGAUAUUAUUUAUUUCUUUUAUAGAUAAAUAAUAUAUAUAUAUAAUUAAAUAAUUUAUUUUGAUAAUUAAUAUAUCGGGCUUUUGGGUCGGGCUCGGGCCGGGCUUGGACAUGCCCAAAUAGGCCCAAAAUUUCUUCGGGCCUAAAUUUUUAAGCCCGGCCCGAACCCAAAGUUAUAUUUUUAAUACCCAAAGCCCGGCCCAAACAUGGCCCAUCAGGCCGGGCCUUGUUUAGGCCCGGGCCCAGUUCCACCCCUAGUCNUUCAUAUCUCAAUACUAACCAAAUCUCUAGUCAUAUGUCACCAGGUUCACUAUUGUCAUAGUCCAAUGCAUUCAUAGGGUUAGAUAUUCACAUUCUAUGUUCAUACAUUUACAAGGUUGAUACACAAUUGCAUAAUCAAUAUUCUUUACAUACUCUCAAUGCCCUAUAAUGCAUGAAUUCAUUGUAAGUAGACAAUUAUGCUCAAUGAAAUAUUUUAGACAUAAAAAGUGAUUCAGAGAUUUCGGAUAGCACCACCCACCUG